RNAcentral lists this ribosomal RNA (485 nucleotides) under Salmonella enterica. Its description in RNAcentral is "partial 23S ribosomal RNA". It matches the Rfam family "Bacterial large subunit ribosomal RNA", at positions 2313 to 2797 of the family's 2925-position model. RNAcentral also lists the same sequence under 1 other name. The record is from RNAcentral. Lineage: Bacteria; Pseudomonadati; Pseudomonadota; Gammaproteobacteria; Enterobacterales; Enterobacteriaceae.
AAGGUUGGCUAAUCCUGGUCGGACAUCAGGAGGUUAGUGCAAUGGCAUAAGCCAGCUUGACUGCGAGCGUGACGGCGCGAGCAGGUGCGAAAGCAGGUCAUAGUGAUCCGGUGGUUCUGAAUGGAAGGGCCAUCGCUCAACGGAUAAAAGGUACUCCGGGGAUAACAGGCUGAUACCGCCCAAGAGUUCAUAUCGACGGCGGUGUUUGGCACCUCGAUGUCGGCUCAUCACAUCCUGGGGCUGAAGUAGGUCCCAAGGGUAUGGCUGUUCGCCAUUUAAAGUGGUACGCGAGCUGGGUUUAGAACGUCGUGAGACAGUUCGGUCCCUAUCUGCCGUGGGCGCUGGAGAACUGAGGGGGGCUGCUCCUAGUACGAGAGGACCGGAGUGGACGCAUCACUGGUGUUCGGGUUGUCAUGCCAAUGGCACUGCCCGGUAGCUAAAUGCGGAAGAGAUAAGUGCUGAAAGCAUCUAAGCACGAAACUUGC